AAUCAGAACAAAGAGCUUGGGAUGGUGAAGAGAGAGGAGACAGUAGCAAAGGAUUCAGGUGUGUUAGAGGGUUUGAGGAGGGGGUGAAGACAUGGGGAAGGGUUCAAGUGACAGUAGAAAGAGGACAUGAAGUUGGUUUUCCCACAUUCUAUUUCAUUAGAAAUUAUUUUAGAGAAAUCUACUGAGAAUAAUCUCAGGAUUCUCUUAUUGUAAGUGCUUGAAGACUCUGUAUAUAAGAAUUAAUACUCAUAGACAAACUUAAUUUUAUUUGGUUUUCCGUGUGAGUGAUGCUGUCCCUCUUCCAUUCACAUUGCUGGUUGUGUUUUUAUACCAAUAUUAAGUGGUUUCAUUACUAUAAUUUAAUAUGGUGUUUCAUUAGAACCAUUUAAGUGUUUUUGUUGGUCCUGAGCACAGAGUUUUUGAAGCAUCUUGUAGUUCCAUAAGGUUCUGUGCCUUUUAGGGUUAAUUUCUUUAUUUUCUAAAAUAAUGCCAGCAGAAUUUUGAGAAGAUUUGCUUAAUAUCUCUGCCAAGUACUAAACUCCAUUUACAUUGUCUUCCCUUUGAUAUCCCAUUGUCUGUCUUCAACACUCCACCAUUUGCAUCACUACAAUUUUUAUAUAUUUUGAAAUUACCACUGGGUUUGAUCCUUCUCUCACUAUUUUUGAAGUCUUUGUGGUUUCUCACAAUUUUAUAUAUCUUAGGAACUCCUGAUUUUCUCCAUUUACAGAAAAAAACUGCCUGUAAGAUAUUGGUACAAAGUAUUUAGAAUCUUUACAGAACAUAAUCAUCAUUUUCUAUUUCUUUGCAUGUUUGAAUGAGAACAUGCUAUCAGAGAGUCAAUGUUCACAGGUCUUUUUUGUAUUCUUCUCUGUUCUAUUUACUGUUGAUGUCAGCAUUCUUGGUUCUUGGAGAAGACACUUUAAACAUUGAUCUUUACUAGGUUUGAACACUUGUUCUAUUUUUAAGACAGGGCCACACUGGAGAAUACUUAUUGCAGUUUGUGAAACUGGGUGUCUUCUGAUGUUGAGUGGAUCAUUCUCUGUAGGGCUGGUAGGCAUUAUUGGUUUUCUGCACUGUUCAAGGUCAUCUUGCUCAAUGUGGACAUCAAAGCUUCCCUGUAUUAUUGUCUAUUUGCUUCAUACAAUUCUGUCAUUGAUUGCUUCAUGUAUUUGGAAACUUGUGAAAUACAUCCAUGUUGAUCACAUAUCUUUCUGGAAAUGGACCAUUUGAUCAUUUGUUAAUAAUCUUUUGUAGCUGGAAGUUUUUGUUUUGUAUAUUUAUAGAUUCGGCUUUUCCUGUUACCUACCAUAAUCAUGACCAAUCCUCUUUACAGAAAAUCUUUAAGAAAAAUUUCUUCACACUUAGCACUUUGUAUCUCUAUAUUUGAAGUAAAUACUUGUAUACAAAGUAUAUAUUUUGAUUUUAGUGGUAGUAUAUAUUAUUAUAAUAUAUAUAAGAGCUAUAUAUUUUGAUUUUAGGAUUAUCCUAUUUCAUGUUAGGUUUGAGGCAUAUUAUACAUAUCAUUUUGAUAAAUCACUGAAGGAAAAUAUAAACAUAUACUAAUUUGUUAUUUUCUGUAUUGUUUUUCCUCUUUCUGCAUAUCUAUUUCAUUGAUAGUUUGCAGUUUAUUUCAUUUCUUUAUAAAUGUGAGUAGUAUCUUCUCUAGGUUUUCUCUUUUUCUUGUUUGGUUUUUCACAAAGCUGUACACUGACUUUCCUGGUGGCUUCAGUGAGUUUGAUUCACAAUGACACUGUGUCUGUGUCUUCCUUUUGCAUUGUCUCUAGUGUUUGUUAUUGUUUAACACCUUGAGUGUGGAUACUGACUGGCUAGAGAGAUCUCAGUGUACACUAGUGUACACAUUUUCUUCAGUAAACAUGUGGAGCAUGUGCUAUUUACAUUUAGGCUAUGUCAAAGCUUUUGUGCAUUGUCACCUUUUUGGUUUAUUUCUUGAUUAUAGUAUUACUUGCUUUGCAUUUUUUAAACUUCUUGGUAAAAUUUGGGUAUUUAUGCAUGUACUAUGAAAGUGUAGGCAGUUUCUUCAUACUUUCAGUUACUACCUUUUGUAUGCAAUUUUCCAAUUGCACACAGUCAAAUUUCACCAAUUCAUUGCUUUUCACUCUUUUAUAUGUGGAUAUUUACUUUUCCCUACAACACUAGUUUACGAGACUUUCUAUUGUGUAACAUAAGUUUUUGGCGUUUUGGUGAAAUUCAUUCGGUCACCGCAGGUUGGAUUGGUUCUGGAUCUGUGGCUCUUAUUGCUUAGGUGUCUGUUCUUCUGCCGUCGCCAUGGUGCUGUUGUUCCCGUGAGUCUGCAGUGUCUUCUGAAAUCACAGCUGGGAUGAUUCAAGCUUUGCUCUGCACUCUUAGGGUCUUUGUAAUUUCGUAAUUUGUAAAUAAUGUAAAUUUGUAGGCGUCUCCUGACUGUACCUGUGAAGUAAAUCAUUGUUACCUUGAUUGACAUGCAUUUUGAGUUAAUCAUAUGAAUCUUUUAACACUGUCGUUUUCACAAUAAUGCAUUCUGUUCCACAUUCAUGCCUGUUUUUCCCAUCUUCCAGUGUCAUCCUCCAUUCCUUCAGUGAAUUCAAGUUUCUAUUUCACUUGUGUCUCUUGUGCUUGGUUAGAUUUUUUUAAAUCCUUUUUUCAAACUAUUUUUUGAUUGUUUAUAGUUUAGUUUGGAUUAAUUAAAUUGAAGUAAAACCAGAUAGUAUAAAUCCUCUCUAAUUGCUUGGUUAUGUACAUGAAAAAAAAGUUCUACCUCCAAAUAGACAUUGAUAUCUCCUUAUAAGUUCUAUUUGUAUAAAUUUUGUUCAGUUUUUAUUAUUAAUAAAUGUUGAUAUUCAGUGAUUGCACAGUUUUCCUCUUGUCACCCUCUGUCCCAUCCCUGGGUAGAUUGUUGUCUUCCCAGUUGUCCUCAUAUUUCAUGUAUGAUUUUGGGCAGGUUUUAGCCAGGUAGCCAGGCUGUAAUAUUUUGAUAAUUCUGAUGGUCAUGUUGUAUGGCAGGAGAGUUUUUCACAUGUCACCUCCCCAUCCUCCAGCUCUUAAAAUCUUUCACCUCCCCUUCUGUAAUGUUAUCUGCAAUUUAGAUGCAGAAAUAUGGAAUUCCCAUCAUAGCCUGUUCUGUAGGCAUUUAAUUGUUCUCAGUAUUUGAGGAGUUAUGACUCUCUGAAAUAACUGUUGUCCAUUGAAAACAGAGUUUCUUAGACCCAGGCUGAAAGCAAUACCAGGCUGUGGUGUGAUCAGAGUCAGUAAAAGGCAGUUGGAAUAUUUGUACAUGUAGCAGAAUAUCAGUAGUGGAUUCUCUUUAGGGCCUGUGACCUUCACCAUCAUAGGCUUCUGGCCAGGUUAUCUGUGCCAUGCAUGUAUUUCCUCUAUGGAGCCUGCUUCAAAUCAAAUCAGAAGGCCUUCUGUUACAUAAAAAAUAGUUUUGCUACUAUGACACCAGUGGACAUUUCUUGCCUGGCAGGUUGUGAUUAUAGCACACAGGAUCCAAAUCUGGGUAUGGCCAUUGAUAACUCUGCCCCUUCUCGAGCCUGCAUAGCAGUUUUGACACUAUAAAUGCUACCACCAGGGAGUCCAAGAUAUUUUUAGACACUGUGAGUGGUCUGCUGACUUCUCUGCAUCCUCUUGUUGGUAUGUUAAAAAAAAAACCAAAACAGUGAUGUUGUAUGUGUAUUAGGUAGCUGUUUAAGAGUCCUAUUUGAUCUUAGUUUUUCAUGGGUAUUUCUACCUUUAAGUUAUAAAAUUCUAUUUCUUAUCUAAGAUAUCCCCUUUCUUUAUUACUGUCCUAUAUUAUCACCUUUAAAAUUUUCUGUGUCUGAACUGUACCCACCGAUGCAAUGUGUUGACUGUGGAGGACUCCCUUCUCUGUGCUGAUUAGAGCGAAAUGGUUCCAGCUGUCUUUUUGUAGUGUCAGGUUUAGGAUUGUGUCCCAUUGUCUUUAUUAUGCUGAGAUAUAUUCCUUUUGUUCUCACAUUCUUCAGAGCUUUUAUAGUGAGCAAAUGUGAUAUUUAGGCCCAAGUCUUUUAUGGAUCUAUUGACAUCAUCCUGUUGUUUCUCUUACCCACUCUACAUGUUUGCUGUCUUACAUUGAUUAAUUCAUAGGUGUUGAAACAGUCUUGCAUUCUUGCCAUUAAAUCAGCUUGCAUUCUGUUUCCAUGUAGCUUAGAGACAAUCUCCAUGUCUCUGUCCAUCCUGACAACUUGUCUGUGAUUUUCCUUUGCCUAUAUUUGUUUGGAUUACCUGCUUCAGGUGUUGAGGUAACACUAGCUUUGUAUGAUGACUUUCUAGCAUUCCAGUUCUUUGUGUAUUAUGUAUGCAAUGUUCUUCUUGUUGUAUUAGUAUAAGGUUUUUCUAAAGAAAAGGAGAAUUCUGUGCUGAAUCUGUCCAGUCCUCAGACACUGUUAGAGGAAACUCUGACUGCUUCAGUCUCAGCACUACUGAAUGCCUUUUCUAGUUUUAUAAAUUAGAAGGGUGAAUUGUUUGCUUGUUUCUAAAAGCUUGACCUUUUCUUCUUCACUUCUAAUUUCUUUGCAUGUGACCAUCCACAGUACUCCAUAAGGUAACUCUGAUGUCAUUGGCAUACACUGCAAUGUCCUCUUUUCAACUCUAGGUCUGUUACUUGGGGAUUCAUUCUUUUAGUUUGGAUUAGGUGAAAAAUGCUUCAUCCAUACUUUUUUCAUUUCACAGAAACAAGUCUAUUGCCUUGAUUCAUCGCAUUGUCAUCUGGUCUCUAUUUCAUUAAUUUCUACACAACCUUUCUAGUAUCUUUCUAUAUACUGUUUCAGAUGGACUGUUCUUUAGCUUGUAAGCCCUCGGCCACAUAGCUAUGGGCAAAUGUCUUUUAUAACCAGAGUCUAUUGCUGACAAAACUUCUCAGUGUAUCUUUGUCACCUCACUUCUGUAUCAUUGUUAUUCAUGAGCUGCCAAUCACCCUGACAUUCUAACAAAUUAUCCUCAGUACUUCAUGAAUCCUGGCCCACUGUUCAUUGAUUUAAGUCUCCACAAUAGCUAAUUAAGGAAAAAUAAACCGAGUGUUGCAGAGGUGGCUCAUCAGUUAAGAGCACUUGUUGCUCUUGCAGUUUUCAGGUUCAGGUCCCUCUACAUGCAAGGUGACUUAAUUCAGGUCCAAAGGAUCUAGUGCCCUCUUGUGGCCACUGCAGCUACUUCAUGCAUUAGGUACACAGACCUACCUGAAGGAAAAUACCCAUACAAUUAAAGUUAAAAUACAUAAAUCUAUCUUUACUUUCUUUUAUUUAUUCUAUAUAUCUUUUACAUCAUGUAUCUUCAUGUCAUUCAUUUCCCAGUCUCCUUGCAUGUCCCCUGUGCCCUUCUAUCCCCCAAUAAAAGAAAAUUUAAGAGAAAAAAGGAAAAAUUUAAAAUCUCAUUAUGAAAGCUGCAGUGUGACACAGUGAGUCACUCAGUAAAGGUCUUUGUCCAUAUAUCUUUAUUUGUAAGUGUUCAUUGCAAAUAACCAUUGGUAUGGUUCGAGGCCUCUAGUUUCUACUACAGUAUCAAUGCUGGACCCUCACUAGGACUCUUCUUGGGUAUCCUGUUGUUGCCCUGUGUUGUGGAGAUCCUGCAACUUUGGGUCUACAGGUGAGGUGGUGAGGUCCUGUCACAUUCUCCAGCAGAUCACUGAUAGUGUAGGUGUUAUGUUGGGCCAAAUCAUAGUUCUGGUUCUGGGCCUGGCAAAGAUCAAUGCUUGAAAUUUUUAUUUUCUUACCUAACUGGAAUGCAAAUAACAACAUCAAAAAGAAAAUAAAAUACAUAAAUGACCAGUGAAAACUGGUGCAAUACUAGCAUGUUUAUAUUCAAACAUAAGACAAUAUAAAAGGUGAGUAUACCAUUACACUCAGGCAAAGGAAGACAUAAAAACAGAACUAGAAAACUGAGCUGUUUAAAUGUUAGAAACAGAUCUGAGUGUCUCAAAAAUGGCAAGGUAAAAAAUUUUUCUUGUCUGGAAGCAAGCAUAGCUGUGAGAAAUCCACCAUGCAAACACAUUCGGCAAGAGUCCCAUUAGGACUUCAUUCCUAAAAGAAAAGGGGCUACUCUUUCAGUGGUCAGAGCUCACCUCACAUACUUAUGACAAUGGCUAAGUUAACACAAUGCAGUUGACAACCCAAACAAAAUUUUGAGCACUAAAUGAAACCCUUCUUGAAUAUUUUGAGUUCAGAAGUGUUGUUGACCCUGGAGAAAUUUUAAAUUCUCCCAAUUAGCUUCUUUAAUUUUUUUUAAAUGGAAUUGUGUAUUAUUUCACCUUUUGGCAUAAAAGACAGUACCUUCUGUUUACAUUUCCCAUGCAUAUUUGUAUAUUUCAAACUGUCUGGUGAAUUCCAGGAGUGGUGGUGCAUGCCUUUAAAUCCAGCACUCUGGAGGCAGAGGCAGGUGGAUCUUUCACAGUCAAGAUCAGCCUGCAUAGUGUAUUCCAAGGCAGACAGGAAUACUCAGUGAGACCCUGCCUCAGAAAAAAUAAAUGUCUGAGGAUUGGAGAGGUGUCUCAGUGGUUAAAGUAGUGGCUGUUCUUUCAGAGGACCUCAGUUCUAUUCCUAGCACCCACAGGGCAAGUCACAGUCAUCUCUUAGUCAAGUCCAGGGGAUCUGUUGCACUUUUCUGAUGUCUCUAAGCACUGCAUGCAAAUGGACAAAUGGUCCAAAGAUGUUACUUGCAAAAAAACUCAGAAACACCCAAAUGCAUAAAAUAAAAAUAAAUAAAUCAUUGUAUAAACAGCCUAGUGGAACCAUCUCUGGUGAUGUUAUCACUUCCUUUAUCAUAUCUGUAAAAAGAAAAAGAAGUAUAUUUUAUUUAUUUGGAUUUAACAGAUGAAGCUGAGCUCAAUGCAGCCUUGGUUUUACAGUGACUAGUCUAACACACUGCUGCCUGCUACCUCAAUUUUUUUAAUUAAGAAAUUUUUUUAUUCAUUUUACAUACCAACCACAGAUCCCCCUUUCUUUCCUCUUCCCACACCCCUCAGCUUUCUCCCCCAAACCCACCCUCCAUUCCCUUCUCCUAAAAGGUAAGGCAUCCCAUGGGGAGUCAACAGAGCCUGGUACAUUCUUUUGAGGCAGGUCCAAGUCCUUCCCUCCUGCAUCAAGGCUGUGCAAGGUGUCCCACCAUAGGUAAUGGGCUCCAAAAAGCCAGCUCAUGCACCAGGGAUGGAUCCUGAUUCUACUGCCAGGGGGCGCCUUACGCAGAUCAAGCUACACAACUGUCUCGCUUAUAUAGAGGACCUUGUCAAGUCCCAUGGAAGAUCCACAGCUGUUGAUAUAAAUUUCUUGAGUUCCCACAAGCUUGGUUUGGUUAUCUACAUAAGUUUCCCCCAUCAUAAUCUUGAUGCCCCUUGAUCAUAGAAUCCCUCUUUACUCUCUUCGACUGGACUCCUGGAGCUCGGCCUGGUGCUUGGCUGUGGAUCUCUGCAUCUGCUUCCAUAAGUUACUGGGUGAAGGCUAUAUGAUGAGAGUUAGGGCAUCACAGAUUUGAUUACCAGGGUAAGCCAGCUGAGGCACCUUCUCCACUAUUGCUAGUAGUCUAAGCUGGGGUCAUCCUUAUGGAUUCCUUGGAACUUCCCUAACAACAGGUUUCUCCCUAUCCCCAUGAUGUCUCCCUCUGUCAAGGUAUCUCUUUCAUUGCUCUCCCACUCCGUCCCAGUUCCAGCUCAACCAUCCUGUUCCCUUAUGUUCUGAUCCCCCAACCCCAACCCUCCAUUCCCCCCACCUCGCUGCAUCCCCAGUUUACUCAUGGAGAUCUCAACUAUUUCCCCUUCCCAGGGCAUUCAAUUCAUCCCCCUUUUGGUCUUCCUUGUUAGCUAGCUUCUCUGGAGCUGGGGGUUGUAGUCUGGAUAUCCUUUGCUUUAUAUCUAGUAUCCAUUUAUGAGUGAGUACAUACCAUAUUUGUCUUUCUGAGUCUGGGUUAACACGCUCAAGAUGAUAUUUUCUGGUCCAAUCCAUUUGCUUGCAAAUUUCAUGAUGUCAUUCUUUUUAAUGCUGAGUAGUACUUCAUUGUGUAUAUGUUCCACAUUUUCUUUAUCCAUUCUUUGGUUGAGGGGCAUCUACGUUAUUUCCGGAUUCUGGUUAUUAUGAAUAAUGCUAAUAUGAACAUAGCUGAGCAAGUGUCCUUGUGGUAUGAUUGUGCAUCCCUUGGGUAUAUGCCCAAGAGUGGUAUCCCUGGAUUUUGAGGCUACCUCAGUUUUUAAUGUUACUAAUUGUUUGUUCUGUAGUAUGGGGGGGUCAACCCCAAGGGUCCAUACAUACUAGGCCAGUGCUUUACAAACCAUGUACCUCAUUAUUCUUGCUAGCAACUGUUAAGUUUUUGCUCACAAACCUUCUGUCUGCCUCCUAAAUCUACAGUGGAAGCACCAGCCUAUGUGUCCUUGUAAUCAGGAGAAAGUGGAGUACACACAAAGAAGGCAGACAACCCUCCCUGUAUAAUCCCAUAUAAUGAGGCUACAGAGUGGAAAUGGGGAAAGCUCUGAGGAAAAUGGAAAUGACAUUUAAACAGGAAAAUUCCUGUUCUUCACGUAAGGAAUGGGGCCAGGCUGAAGAGAUUGCUCAGUGUUUAAGAGUACUUGUGGCUCUUAAUCAAGGACCUAGGUUCAAUUCACAGCACCCACAUGGUGGCUCACAGCUGCUCAUGACUUCAGGUCUAGGGAUCCAAUGCCUUCUUUUGCCCUCCAGGUGCACCAGGCAUGCAUGUGGUGCAUAAACAUACAGACAAAAAAUACACCUUAAAAGUUUUUAAAUGAAGGGAAAGGGGGUAAUUAUUGAAGAAAGUGAAGAAAGAGAAGAAACAAGUUGUUCUGGGAAGGAAAACCUACUUAUUCCCAUCUCUCUUUCAUUCCAGUCUGGCCUCUUACUCCUUCCAGAAAUCAGAAGGUCCAGCCUGGGGAGAUAGUGCCAUGCUUAAGGAACUUAAGGAGAUCUGGAAUAAGGAACCAGGAAUGCAUGUUAGCAUGGCAGGCUGCUUAUAAUUAAGUAUGGGAAUCCAGAGAAAGUUCCUUUGUAAUGUUGGUAAUGUAGCUUCAGCCUACAGGCCUAGAGUCUCUGGCAUAAUUUUCAGUGAAUCAGGAAAUGUGAAGGACUGUUCUACCUAAUGGCAAAGUUUGUCAGUCACUUUCCUCUGUGUCCUGCAAAAUGUAUGGCAGAUUUGUCUGCAAAGCAGGAACAUGAAGGACCAUCCCACCUUGUUUUGGCAAAGUUCAGUAGUCACUAUCCUAUGGGUCUUGCAUGUCCAGUUUAUACAACAUACUGUAAGGUAGUCCAGCCAAGAGCAGUUUCUUACCCAAGUGACUAAUCUUUUCCACAUUGUAAGGAAGCUCCAUAAACAAGGUUCUUUGAUGGCCAUCAUCCUCUUGCUGCCAGGAGCAGACAUGUCUCAUUGUCCAGAAAAGUCUAAGUUCUUAAAACACUUUAAAUGCCAAAUUUUGUAGGUCUUUGAAGUGUUUAAAGAUUACCUACCUACUUGAAAUAUAUCUUUGUAUACCUAGAAAACUUAAGUAACAUGACUGGAAGUUUGAUUAUCAUAGAUGACUACUAAUCUGCAUUAUAUGAUACAAUACAAUUUUAACUGAGUUGCAUAAGCAUAAUAACAUAAACAAGAGUAGAAAUAUACAUAUAAAAAAUUGACCUUAAAUAUGUAUUAAUAAUGCAAAAUCCACAUCAAUGUAAAGUAUUUUGAGGUUAACAGUUGCUUGUUUUAGAGUAAAGUAAAUGUGCUGGAGGUCUCAGAAUUUCAUAAAAAAACCAUGUCAAUAGUAAGGGUAUAAAAAAGGAUUUUUCCAUAAUCUGGCAAUAAGCCAAAGAAAUUAUAAGGAAAUGUCCUACUUGUUCUUUUUACAAUCAGACUCCAUUACCAGCAGGAUGUGACCCAAAGGGUACUCAAAGCAAUGAAAUCUGGCAGAUGGAUGUGUUUCACUUUGCAGAAUUUGGAAAAUUGAAAUAUAUACACCACACCAUUGUUACCUAUUCAGGAUUUCAACGGGCAACUGCUUUGAGUUCAGAAAAGGCUGAUUCUGAAAAUCACACAUUUGCUAGAAGUUAUGGCCAUCAUAGGUAUACCUGCACAAAUUAAAACUAACAAUGCUCUAGCAUAUGUCUCUGGUAAAAUGAAAUAGUUUUUUCCUUAUUACAAUAUAAAGCAUAUUACAGGUAUACCACAUAAUACUAGAGGCCAAGCAGUCAUAGAAAGAUCAAAUUGAACUUUAAAGGAUAUGCUAAAUAAACUGAAAGGGGUAACAAAAACCCCCAGAAAUAGAUUACAUAAUGCUCUAUCAACUUUGAAUUGUCUCAAUGCUGAGAAAGGAACAAUAGCUGUGAAGAGACACUGGAUAAUAGAAAAAAACUACAGAAUUAAAUCAGCCUAUAUAUUUUAAAGAUGUGCUCACCUCACAAUGGAAACCAGGAUAUGUACUACACUGGGGGACGAGGUUUUGCUUUUGUUUCUUCAGGAGAAGGAAAUCUAUGGAUACCAUCAAAACUGAUAAAGUUUCAAUUUGAAUGAGAGACCUCUUAAUUAGAAGAGGUGAUAGUUCAUCAACCAGCAUGACCAUCCAAUUAAAAUUAAAUUAUACCACUAAUAAAUGCUUUUCAUAUAAUCAGAUAUAACUUGCUAAAAGGGAACCUCCCCAAAGCUAGGCUUGGAGAAGGGUUUUUGGUUUUGUCUUUCAGGAGAAUGAAGGCUAAGCAAUCUGAAGCCCUGGACAAAUGAGACAUCUGAAAAAAAAGUACAUAUCAUCCAGAAAAAAUGUCCAAGGAGAAAGAGUAAAUUGGCCUAAUGGCAUAUCAUAUAAAAUUUCAUAAUCUUCCUAAAUGUUUGUUUCUGCUCUUCUCUACAGACAUUUAGCACAUAUGGUCUUUAUGUAGUUCCAGUUCAAUUAAAAAAUAAAGCUGGCUUUGGAACUGGAGAAUGGCUCUCUCCUUCUCUAAACCUAAGCAUGCUUGUUAAAAGAAAAUACAAAAUCUCUGUAUCAUGUCAGAAGCGCCAUCUGAUGUGGGAUAGAAGAAAACCAAAAUUAAGGGACUAUUCUAUUGCACUAACCUCAUAACUCUUUGGUUUUAUUUUGAUUCUUUAAAACUUUUCUUAAGGUAUGAAUUUUAUAUCAAAAUUUAUGAGAUUUAUAUAUAUAUUUCAACUUUUUCAUGAUAUUAAUGGGUAUAUAGAGUACUAAUUAAUUCUUAAAAAAAAAGGCUUCAUCUAGCUGCCUGUACUUUUUUGUGUGUUUCAGUCUCUAUUAGUUUCCUGCAGGGAAUCAUGACCACACCUAACAGCAAAUUUGAAGCCUCCAAAAAGAUGAUGGGGCCCCACAACAGCGAUUCCAUCAGGAUGAUGGUAAUACCACUAAGCGGAAAAACAUCACCCAAAGAUUGGACUACAAACUACACAGGACAGUUUCAAGAUGGCUAGCUGAGACGAUCCAGCCUCACAGAUUACUGGAGCGAGGACUUGAGAUAAGCCCUGCACUUCUGCAUUAUGCUGAGACUGGGCAACAAAUGAUACAGCUACCUCUCCCAGGACUUAAGAAUUAACCAAAAUUUUUUCUUUUCAGGGUCCCCUAAAGAUGCCUCCACCCCAAAACAGCAGGAAGUAAUUUUAAAAACACAACACCCACAUUCCCAAGAAUGGUGGUUUUUGGUCUUUCAGUUUUGGAUAAUUGUCAUUGUUUAGGACAGGUUGUUAUUGUUAAUGGUGAGGAAAAAGACUAAACAAAGGAGAUUAGAUUUAAGGUUCUUGUUUGAAAAAAAGAAAAAGUAAAAAGAGGAUAUAGAUAAGAGGUCUAUUAUUGAAUCUACUCUGAAAAAAGAUAUAGAAAUGAUAGAAUAAAGGUAUAUUAUUGAAUCUACUCUGAAAAAAGAGGAUAUAGAUAUGAUAUAGAUAAAAAAGUAGAUUAUUGAAUCUACUUUUUUUUUUUCGAGACAAGGUUUCCCUGUGUAGCUUUACGCCUUUCCUGGAUCUCGCUCUGUAGAUCAGGCUGGCCUCGAACUCACAAAGAUCUGCCUGCCUCUGCCUCCCGAGUGCUAGGAUUAAAGGUGUGCGCCACCACUGCCCAGCUGAAUCUACUUUUUGAAGGCAACUAUUAGUUUUAAAUAUUUUACAUUGAAUUGGAUUCUUGUAUAUUGCAUACAAAUUAUGUAUAUUGAUACCAAUUUGAGAUUGAUUUUGUUAGGAAAUACUGCAUGUAUAUUUCUAAUCUUGUUCAAGAUAUUGUACCUAUACAGUUCCUUUAAAAAUGUAAUGCUGCCGGGCGGUGGUGGCACACGCCUUUAAUCCCAGCACUCGGGAGGCAGAGGUAGGCGGAUCUCUGUGAGUUCGAGGCCAUCCUGGUCUACAGAGUGAGAUCCAGGAAAGGCGCAAAGCUACACAGAGAAACCCUGUCUUGAAAAACCAAAAAAAAAAAAUGUAAUGCAAUUUGCCAGUCCUUGAAAGUUAUUAUUACCAAAUAUUUUGGAUAUAAAGAAAUGUAAGGUAGUAUUUAGUCACUAAAAUCGAACUUGUAGUCAUAUUAGGUAUGUUUUCAAGACUAAGCAGAAAUAUAUUUUAGAUAGGUCAUCUUCAAACACUUCAGAGAUCUGCAUUUAAGAUGUUUUAAUAACAUAUACUUUUUUUCUUUGUUUUAUGACUAUGAGACAUGUCUGCUCCUGGCAGCACCAAUCUACUUCAGAGGAAAUGAUAGGCAUUGAAGAAACGUCACAUGGAGUUAACUUUCAUUGUGGCAAGUUAGCUACUGGGCAAGAAAGUGCCCUCACAUUGACUGCUGACAGUAUGCUAUCUAAAAUGGACAAGCAGGAUACAAAACAAAUGACUGCCAAUCCUUGCCAAGACAAGGUAGGAAGGCUCUUUAGAAAAUCCUACUUCACAGAUGAGUCUGUCAGAUAUGAUAAGCCAGUAGGCCAAAGAUGAUGCCCCAAUAUUGCAGAGAAACCUCGGGUGACUGUCCAGGUAGAUGGCUGUUUUCUGUCAUAACUCACAUUUUUUGGAAGUUGCUUGUUUGCACUUCCUGCUUUACUAGGUAAUAUUAUUUCCUUCUUGGGUCUCUGAGGGAGUUGAAGAUUAGAUAGUUAUAGUUAUAGGUUUCCUUGUUAACAAUUCGUAAAAGAAACUCACUAAGAGGUGUAAAGUGUAUAAACUUUAAAGACAUUACAAGAUUGUUUUCUGUUGGUAAUACGAAGUAGGAUAGAAAGUGAAUUGGGUACAUUUUGGACUCAGCAAAAUAGGAUAGAUAAUGUAAUAUUUUCACUGAAUUUGUCAAAUGCAAAUGGACUACACAUUGUUGAUAUAUUUAUUGCUUAUAUAUAUUGUGUACAGUUAUUGUACUUAUUAUAUAUAGUUUUUCUUAUAUUAGUUAUAACAUUUUUUAAUUUAGACAAAAAAGGGGAAAAUGUGGUGAUAUUUUAUCUGUGUCCCCCAAUAAAGUUUAUCUGAGAAUCAAAGAAAAAAGCCAGCCAUUAUAGUAAACAUAGAGGUCACAAAGUAGUAGCUCAUGCCUUUAAUCCUAUCACCCAGGAGGCACCAAUUCGUGUGGAUCUCUGUGAGUUCAAGGCCACACUGAGAACAGAGCCAGGCAUGGUGGCACAUGCCAUAAAUUCCAACACUAGUUAACCAUAAAGGUCUGGAAGUCUGUACAGACAGACAGGAAGUGACAGAGCUGGGCAGGAAGAGGAAGUGAUGUAGCUGGACAGAGAGAAAAUGAGAUGGCAGAACAGAGAGGCAUAUAGGCAUGGGUAUACAGGAAGUAGGUCUCUUUGGUAAAGGAUCUCCAAGCAGGUAAGAACAUGGCUGGCUUCUUCCUGCUUUUCUGAUUUCUCAACAUUUCACCCAAAUAUCGGGCUCCAGGUUUUUUAAUAAUAAGACGUUGUAGGAUUUGUUACAUUUCUUUAAACUCUAUUUUUUAAAGGACUUUCUUUAUCCUUUUGCUUUUCUCUCUCAAGCCUACAUAUAUAUUUAACCAUCUUGUAACCUGUUUUCUUUUUUUCCAUCUGACUAUCGUGUAUCUGUAAUCUUUUUCUGAGCAGGUGAGUUUUUAAAUUGCUAAGCUGCAUCGCUGGGAAGAAAGCAUGGCUUUGGCGACUGGCACUUCUCUGCUUGGCUUUUCAAUACCGCAUACAUACUAAUGAGUUGCACUUACCACCCUGAUUCUGGGAAGCAGUAUUAAGUAGCAUGUAGCUGUGUUUUUAAGCCUACAGCUGUGUUCUCAAUCUUACAGUCAGCAGCUGAGUGAAGACACUUAUUACCAUGGCCCAUAGGAAAGACUGCAGAAAUCCAACAUGCUGCAUAACUCAUGGUGGCUGGUAGCCAGCUCCGUCUCGCAGACAGCUGUCCAGAGACGUAUCUCUGCACUCCUACUAGCAUGAGACUCUGAGACUUAGGAAGACCAGUGUGGCUCCAUUACUGUGCAUUCAGAAUCUUUUUUAAGCUUUCUCAGUUCUAUGUGGUCAAUGCAUGACAGUCAGAAGAAUUUCUAAGUCCCACAGUUGCUUGGUCCCGUAAAUACACAGUGGCUUAUACUACAAACUAAUUAGUCUGUGGCUCAGGCUUAUUGCUUACUAGCUAUUUUAUCUUAAAUUAACCAAUUUCUACUAAUAUAAGUAUUGCCUUGGGUCUCGUGGCUUUACCUGUUUCAAGACAUCUUGCUCAAUGUCUCUCCUGACUCUACCUUCCUUCUCUCUGUAUCAUUUGGAUUUCCCACCUGGCUAUAACCUGUCUUGCCAUAGGCCAGAGCAGCUUUUUUAUUAAGCAACAGUAGCAACACAUUCACAGCAUAGAGAAAGACCAUCCCACAGCAGGUUAUGAAGGUAUACUCAGGUUAACAAAAAAUACUUAGAGAUGUAUGUCUAAAAUUGUAAAAUCUGAAACUUUUUGUACUACUAAUUUGUUGUAAACAGUUAAAGAUUAUUAAGGCAUUAAAAUUAAUGGUCAAUCACCUUAUAAAUAAAAAAAUUUAAAGUGCUCAAAACUAAGAUUGUAGUCAUAAUAAAUAAAAAUAUGACUCAUUUGAAAAAAAAUCUUUGACCAUCUAUGCAUGUUAUCAAGGUUGAGCUGAAAACACAUAACUAAAAACAAAGUUUGCUUAAACUAAGAUUCAUUUAAUAGAUGGUUCUAUUAUUCACUUACACAUCCACUAAAUAAUACACUUACAACACUAGGAAAGUAAGAAUAUUUUUGUCUUUUAUUACUAAAGCUUGAUUUUUAAAUGUAUAUUUUUGUACAACAUAACAUAAAUUAAAAAAUAACAAUGUACACAGGCUUACAAUAAAUUCAAAAAGAAAAAUAAGAGUAAAUUAAAAUCCGAAGGUUUUUUAAAUCUUUCUUCUGGGUAAUAUGAUUGCCAAAAAAUACAAAUACAAUGAUAUGUUUCUCAAAUUUCUGUGAAGGCCAAAGGGAGUUAAACCAAAAUUACAGUAAAUAAAAUUAAAUUACUUAAAAAAAUUUUCCCUAAAAUUAUUUUGGCAUAGCCUGCAAAUCUGUUACAUAACACUGCCUACAAAAUGUUCUAAAAACUAAAGCCUUCUUCCUCUGUGGAACUGUAAUAAUUAAUUAUUACUCAGACAUUUUAAUUUUCAUUUACAAUAUCAAUUGGAUUUGAAAUUUCAUGGUUACAAGGAAAAACUCAAUUGUUUUAUCCUUCAGGAUUCUCUGUGAUUAUUGCUCAGGCACUUCUAAAUAUCCUGUUACCUAAUAAAAGUCUUAAAUUAAAAUUGCUCUAAAUUUUAAAGAUCUCAAAUCUUAUAGCCUUAAGUUUAAAUCUUUUAAAAUAUAAUGUCCAUUGUUAAUUAAAUAGACUUUGUCUUUUAAUUUUAUACUUAUCCUUAGUCUGAGAAAUGAUCAGACACUGACAAUGUAAGUAAUAAAAACAAAAACAAAAAAGUACCAGAUGGCUUCUGAUGUGAAGCAACCAACUAGGACAUCUAAAAACCACAGGACAAAUGAAACAUCUAAAGGCAAAUGACAAAUCCAUCAAUAGGAGAAGCCCUAUUGAAAAAGAAAAAGAGUAACUGAUAACUUGGAAAAGAUCAAAUACCUAAUUCAUCAAGCUGAGACUGGGAAAACAAGGGCACAAUAUGGUAACCUAAAAAUAAUGCUGUUAUAUCUACUGACUAUAUUGUAUAUUAAUUCUUGGCUUGCCAAUGCAGAAUCAAUAUACCUAUGGUCAGAGGGGGUGAAAGCCACAAAUGUGAUAGGAGACAGCAUAUUGUUUUGUUAUGCCAAGGAUUAUUUUAUCCUGUAGGACCAAUUGUCUGGAUAAAAGAUGGGGUAAAAAUAUUUAAUCAAACAAAUGGGGGAUAUUUUGGUUGAAUAAACUAACAGAUCAAUCCAAACACAAAAAUACAGAUUUCAGCAUAAUCAAAUAUUCUUUAGAAAACUUUGACAAUGGGAACUAUAGUUGUAGAAACACAAAAAAGGGAAUGCCUCAUGUACUGCUUAUCAAAGUUGGUAUAAUUGUACCUAAAAUAAUGCUAUCGAUUGCCAAUGGUCUAGAAAAUAACCUGUGGCUUCAUCCGGCACAUAGAAGUCAACAAGAACAAUCUUUUUUAUAUCAAAGGAGACCAAUAUAUUCGUGAGAUUUGAAAAGAAACAUGUAUGACAUAGGAGUCACUCAGAAACAUUAUUCACAACUAACAGGGAAUAAUAAUGAAUCCACUGGCAUCCAUAUUCACAAGGCUGCCCCUGAUAAUACUGUCAAUGGCGUUUUUUCUAUCAAGCUGUUUAUGCUUUGAAUGUACAUACAUCCAUCCUUAUUGUACCUCUGGUAAACAACUGCCUUUAGGAUGGACCAUUUUUUGUGAAAAUAACUUAUACUGCCCUUCCUGUGAGAUAUAAAGGCUUAUAAGGAAUAGGGCAUAUUUCACUCAUUUUAAUCAGUAAAUCCCUACAACUCAUCAAUAGAACUGGGAGAACAAUCUUUAAAAAUAGUGAUGAUUCUUUACAUUCAUUAGAUCCUGUAAUUAUUGAAGCCACUUCAGCUCUUUUAUUGCCUAUUUCAGAAUCAAUUAUUGGAACACAAAGAAAAGUAUCUAAAUUGGCCUGUAUAAUUACUAAAACUACUAAUAUAACUGCAAAAAUAUUAGUAAAAAAUCAACUAAGAGACGGUUGAGGGCUGGAGAGAUGGCUCAGAGGUUAAGAGCAUUGGCUGCUAUUCCAAAGGUCCUGAGUUCAAUUCCCAGCAACCACAUGGUGACUCACAACCAUCUGUAAUGAGAUCUGGUGCCCUCUUCUGGCCUGCAGGGAUACAUGCAGGCAGAGCACUGUAUGCAUAAUAAAUAAACUUAAAAAAAAAGAGAGA
Peromyscus californicus insignis is the source of this 17269-nucleotide long non-coding RNA. RefSeq lists it as uncharacterized. Lineage: Eukaryota; Metazoa; Chordata; Mammalia; Rodentia; Cricetidae. The transcript is spliced from 2 exons. The record is from RefSeq and is a predicted model, not a curated record.